AGCAGCCGCGGUAAUUCCAGCUCCAAUAGCGUAUAUUAAAGUUGCUGCAGUUAAAAAGCUCGUAGUUGAAUUUCGGGACUAAUAUGUCGGUCGUGCCUCGGUACGUACUGGUAUUUUUGGUUUCUCCCUUCUGACGAACCUUGAUGUCAUUAAUUUGGUGUCUUGGGAAAUCAGGACUGUUACUUUGAAAAAAUUAGAGUGUUUAAAGCAGGCUCACGCUUGAAUACAUUAGCAUGGAAUAAUGAAAUAGGACGUUUGAUUCUAUUUUGUUGGUUUCUAGGAUUGACGUAAUGAUUAAUAGGGAUAGUUGGGGGCAUUAGUAUUCAAUUGUCAGAGGUGAAAUUCUUGGAUUUAUUGAAGACUAACUACUGCGAAAGCAUUUGCCAAGGAUGUUUUCAUUAAUCAAGAACGAAAGUUAGGGGAUCGAAGACGAUCAGAUACCGUCGUAGU
Molecule: ribosomal RNA, 450 nt
Filed under: uncultured Glomeromycotina
Lineage: Eukaryota; Fungi; Glomeromycota
Description: SSU rRNA
Rfam family: Eukaryotic small subunit ribosomal RNA
Source: RNAcentral